Molecule: small RNA, 30 nt
Filed under: Bombyx mori (domestic silkworm)
Lineage: Eukaryota; Metazoa; Arthropoda; Insecta; Lepidoptera; Bombycidae
Description: ovarian small RNA-36382
Source: RNAcentral
UUAAUAGGUCGUCGGCCCACCUUGUGGGAG